GGUUAAGCGACUAAGCGUACACGGUGGAUGCCCUGGCAGUCAGAGGCGAUGAAGGACGUGCUAAUCUGCGAAAAGCGCCGGCGAGGUGAUAUGAACCUUUGACCCGGCGAUGUCCGAAUGGGGAAACCCAGUGCAAUCCGUUGCACUAUCGUUAACUGAAUACAUAGGUUAACGAGGCGAACCGGGGGAACUGAAACAUCU
Molecule: ribosomal RNA, 201 nt
Filed under: Enterobacter hormaechei
Lineage: Bacteria; Pseudomonadati; Pseudomonadota; Gammaproteobacteria; Enterobacterales; Enterobacteriaceae
Description: partial 23S ribosomal RNA
Rfam family: Bacterial large subunit ribosomal RNA
Source: RNAcentral